Mauremys mutica (yellowpond turtle) is the source of this 1808-nucleotide long non-coding RNA. RefSeq lists it as uncharacterized. The transcript has 4 exons. The record is from RefSeq and is a predicted model, not a curated record. Lineage: Eukaryota; Metazoa; Chordata; Testudines; Geoemydidae.
UCUCGGACUAGUUGGUAUUUUGCUGGUAAUGAUGUCAGCUGUAUCCUUUAAGGGAGCUCUUUCCCUCUGUCACGAAAUGCACUUGAUGUAGUUGAGACUUGAGGGAGAGGAGGGGAAACCGAGGCUGUCUCUGGAGGUGGGGGUGUUUGGAUCAAGGAGUUUAGAGCUCGCCUUUCAAACUGGAGUUCCUGUUCCCUCCUUCGGUCCCAGCUGCAGCUGCACCUUGUAGCUCCGGAUUUCUUCCGUGCUGGGAAGCAGCUGUUUUGAUGGGGGAGAUGGUCUCUUCCUGCUAGAGGCAGAGGUUACAAACUCCCCCUGUGAACUGUGAGGAUUGGUGGUGACUCGAGGCUUGUAACAAAAGUUUCUUCUAACCAACUCCCAGUUUGGGGGUGACGCGGAGAGACAGAGGGGAAAGGAAAUUGGCCCUGAGAGCAAGGAAUAGCUCAUCUUCUUCUAUAUAUGCUGCCAUUUGCCAUGAAGAGAAAACAGAAGAGAUUUUUGCAAAUGACGUUGUUGUUCAUGGUGGCUUUAAUUUUCCUGCCUAAUAUUGGUCUGUGGUCUUUGUACAAGGAUAAACACCUGGUGAAAUCUCCAGAGCCAGGAGAGCAGCAGUAUCAAAGCAUCUAGGACUUCCAGUCAUUGUGCUCGACACUGUACAAACACAGAACAAAAGGACAGUUCCUGCCCUGAAACUCUUACAACUUACCGAAAAGAAUCCAAAACUAAUCCAAAACAUUUCCCCUAUGAAGAAUCUAAGGCCCUGAUCCUGCACUGAACUCAGAGCAGGUGGACCCCUGCAUCCGUACAGAGAUCCAUUGAAGUCAAUGAGCUAUUGUGGGUUCAGGUGUCUGUCCAAAGGGAGCACAGUACAGAAUCGGGACAUAAGUUAGAAGAAGAACAGCUCAGCUGUAUUAAAAAUGUCAAAAAAUAGCUAUAUUAUGGCCCUGAUCCAGCAAAACACUUAGGCAUGUAUUGACUUCAGUGAUAUAACUCUAUGUUCAUAAAGUUAAGCACACGUUUAAAUGCUUUGCUUGAUUGGAGCCUAGGAGAGGGGAAUGUUUGAAUGGUCACAUUAAAAAAGGUAAAACACACUGCAGAAACGUGUGAAUUUGAAGGGUGAUAAUUUAAUCACAAAGCAACUUGGGAAAUUCUCAAUUAAGAUUCCCACACCUACUCUACCCCACCCUCAGCCAGUCAGGUGGAGCAGACUAGGCUGACUAAAAUAAGCUGCAGCAUACAUCUUUGCCCUUCCCUCAAAAUUAAUGGAAAGCCUUUUUGUGGGCAGGGGCAAUGGGCGGGUAUGUGUGGAACCAGCCCAGUAAACUCUUUCCGUUGUCUUUGGUUGACAUGAUCUCAGCCUAUUAUAUCAGCUCCCAUCUGAAAAUGUUUUAAUAGAGAUACCUCAGAGUACAUGGUGUACUGGCAAGCCCAAGUCUCUUAUGAUUCAUGGCUUGCUAGACAUGAUGUACAGGACCUUGUGCUGCCAGUUUUUGGAGAAGGUUCUACUGCUGGAACCUUCCUCAAAAUAGUUCUACAAUUAUGGAGGAGCAUUCCCAAAUCCUUGUGUACCUGCUUGGGAUCUAAUGACUGUGUGGCUGGGGAGUGCAGACGCUGUGCCCAGGUAUUCUUGUCAGCAGCGCUAAUCUCCCAAGAAGGAGUGGGAUGGAUGAGAUGAGGGUAUUCUAUUCUAAAUGUUUUUACACUACUCUCAUCAGUGGACUAUCCCAGCACCCUCCACUAGGUGGUGUGACUAACAUCUGUCCUGUGGUUCUCUCAACCUCUCCCUAAGGAGAAAAUUGUGUUCAGUG